GUGUGGGAGUGGCGAAAGGGGUCCAGAGGCUUGGCUACCUUCGCGGCCCCCCACCUUGGACUUAACUCAUUUUUGCCCCCAGCCCUUGUCGCCGUACUGUGGCGAAGGGUGUGGGUGUGGCGAAAGGGGUCCAGAAGCUGGGCUAGCUUCGCGGCCCCCAGCUUGGACUUAACUCCUUUUCUCCUCCAGUCCUUGUCGCCGUACCUUGCGGGUACUUUGGCGAAGGGCGUGGGAGUGGCGAAAGGAGUCCAGAGGCUAGUGCGGCUUCGAAUCCCCCAAGCUUGGAAGCAACUCAUUUUCGCCCCCAGCCGUUGUCGCCGUACCUUUCGGAGGCUGGGCUGGCUUUGCGGCCCCCAGCUUGGACUUAACUCAUUUUCGCCCCAGCCCUUGUCACCGAACCUUGUGGGUGUGGCGAAAGGGGUCCAGAGGCUGCGCUGGCUCCGCGGCCCCCCAACUUGCACUUUACUCUUUUUCGCCCCCAGCCCUUAUCGUCGUACCUUGCGGGUACUGUGGCGAAGGGUGUGGGUGUGGCGAAAGGGGUCCAGAGGCUGGGCUGGCUUCACGGCCCCCAGCUUGGACUUAAAUUCUUUUUGCCCCCAGCCCUUGUCGCCCAUGCGUGUACUGUGGCGAAGGGCGUGGGUGUGGCAAAAUGGGUCCAGAGGCUGGGCUAGCUUCGCGGCCCCCCAGCUUGGACUUAACUCCUUUUCACCCCCAGCCCUUGUCGCCGUACCUUGCGGGUACUGUGGCGAAGGGCGUGUGUGUGGCGAAAGGGGUACAGAGGCUGGGCUGGCUCCGCGGCCCCCGCAGCUUGGAAGCAACUCAUUUUCGCCCCCAGCCCUUUUCGCCGUACCUUACGGGUACUGUGGUGAAGGGUGUGGGUGUGCGAAAGAGGUCCGGAGGCUGAGCUGGCUUCACGGUCCCCAGCUUGGACUUAACUCCUUUUCGCCCCAAGCCCCUGUCGUCGUAUCUUGCGGGUACUGUGGCGAAGGGUACUUUGGCGAAGGGCGUGGGAGUGGGGUAAGUAGUCCAGAGGCUAGGGCGGCUUCGAAUCCUCCAAGCCUGGAAGCAACUCAUUUUCGCCCCCAGCCCGUGUCGCCGUACCUUUCGGGUACUGUGGCGAAGGGUGUGGGUGUGGCGAAAGGGGUCUAG
This 1149-nucleotide long non-coding RNA is filed under the name Oryza sativa aromatic subgroup. Its description in RNAcentral is "lncRNA OsARC_01g0016200". Lineage: Eukaryota; Viridiplantae; Streptophyta; Magnoliopsida; Poales; Poaceae. The record is from RNAcentral.